This 493-nucleotide ribosomal RNA is filed under the name uncultured bacterium. Its description in RNAcentral is "bacterial SSU rRNA". It matches the Rfam family "Bacterial small subunit ribosomal RNA", at positions 28 to 533 of the family's 1533-position model. The record is from RNAcentral.
GACGAACGCUGGCGGCGUGCUUAACACAUGCAAGUCGAACGGACGAGUGAGAUAAGUUUACUUAACUCACAAGUUAGUGGCGGACGGGUGAGUAACACGUGGAUAAUCUACCUGCAACACCGGGAUAACGCUGUGAAAACGGUGCUAAUACCGGAUACGUUCCCUUGUGCGCAUGUAUGAGGGAAGAAAGCUCAGGCGGUUGCAGAUGAGUCCGCGGCUGAUUAGCUAGUUGGUGAGGUAAAGGCUCACCAAGGCGAUGAUCAGUAGCCGGCCUGAGAGGGUGAACGGCCACACUGGGACUGAGACACGGCCCAGACUCCUACGGGAGGCAGCAGUGGGGAAUCUUCCGCAAUGGGCGCAAGCCUGACGGAGCAACGCCGCGUGGGUGAAGAAGGCCUCGGUGUAAGCCUGUCUUAUGGAGAAGUCAGUGACGGUACCGAUAGGAGGAAGCCACGGCUAACUACGUGCCACGCAGCCGCGGUAAGAGUAGUAA